RNAcentral lists this ribosomal RNA (378 nucleotides) under uncultured bacterium. RNAcentral's name for it is "bacterial SSU rRNA". It matches the Rfam family "Bacterial small subunit ribosomal RNA", at positions 521 to 896 of the family's 1533-position model. The record is from RNAcentral.
UAAUACGGAGGGUGCUAGCGUUGUUCGGAAUCACUGGGCGUAAAGCGCGCGCAGGCGGGACGUGCAAGUCGGAAGUGAAAUCUCGGGGCUCAACUCCGAGGCUGCUCCCGAUACUGCCGACCUGGAGACCAGUAGAGGUGGGUAGAAUUCCCGGUGUAGCGGUGGAAUGCGUAGAGAUCGGGAAGAAUACCUGUGGCGAAGGCGGCCCACUGGGCUGGAUCUGACGCUGAGGCGCGAAAGCGUGGGGAGCAAACAGGAUUAGAUACCCUGGUAGUCCACGCCGUAAACGAUGGGCACUAGGUGCUGGGGGGAACGACCCCUUCGGUGCCGCAGCUAACGCGAUAAGUGCCCCGCCUGGGGAGUACGGCCGCAAGGCUG